AGUGAACGCUGGCGGUAGGCCUAACACAUGCAAGUCGAACGGCAGCACAGUAAGAGCUUGCUCUUACGGGUGGCGAGUGGCGGACGGGUGAGGAAUACAUCGGAAUCUACUUUUUCGUGGGGGAUAACGUAGGGAAACUUACGCUAAUACCGCAUACGACCUACGGGUGAAAGCAGGGGAUCUUCGGACCUUGCGCGAUUGAAUGAGCCGAUGUCGGAUUAGCUAGUUGGCGGGGUAAAGGCCCACCAAGGCGACGAUCCGUAGCUGGUCUGAGAGGAUGAUCAGCCACACUGGAACUGAGACACGGUCCAGACUCCUACGGGAGGCAGCAGGGGGGAAUAUUGGACAAGGGGCGCAAGCCUGAUCCAGCCAUACCGCGGGGGUGAAGAAGGCCUUCGGGUUGUAAAGCCCUUUUGUUGGGAAAGAAAAGCAGCAGGUUAAUACCCCGCUGUUCUGACGGUACCCAAAGAAUAAGCACCGGCUAACUUCGU
RNAcentral lists this ribosomal RNA (491 nucleotides) under uncultured bacterium. RNAcentral describes it as "partial 16S ribosomal RNA". It matches the Rfam family "Bacterial small subunit ribosomal RNA", at positions 29 to 506 of the family's 1533-position model. The record is from RNAcentral.